This 542-nucleotide ribosomal RNA is filed under the name Clostridium beijerinckii. RNAcentral describes it as "bacterial SSU rRNA". It matches the Rfam family "Bacterial small subunit ribosomal RNA", at positions 1 to 560 of the family's 1533-position model. The record is from RNAcentral. Lineage: Bacteria; Bacillati; Bacillota; Clostridia; Eubacteriales; Clostridiaceae.
UUUAUUGAGAGUUUGAUCCUGGCUCAGGACGAACGCUGGCGGCGUGCUUAACACAUGCAAGUCGAGCGAUGAAGCUCCUUCGGGAGUGGAUUAGCGGCGGACGGGUGAGUAACACGUGGGUAACCUGCCUCAUAGAGGGGAAUAGCCUUUCGAAAGGAAGAUUAAUACCGCAUAAGAUUGUAGUGCCGCAUGGCAUAGCAAUUAAAGGAGUAAUCCGCUAUGAGAUGGACCCGCGUCGCAUUAGCUAGUUGGUGAGGUAACGGCUCACCAAGGCGACGAUGCGUAGCCGACCUGAGAGGGUGAUCGGCCACAUUGGGACUGAGACACGGCCCAGACUCCUACGGGAGGCAGCAGUGGGGAAUAUUGCACAAUGGGGGAAACCCUGAUGCAGCAACGCCGCGUGAGUGAUGACGGUCUUCGGAUUGUAAAGCUCUGUCUUCAGGGACGAUAAUGACGGUACCUGAGGAGGAAGCCACGGCUAACUACGUGCCAGCAGCCGCGGUAAUACGUAGGUGGCAAGCGUUGUCCGGAUUUACUGGGCG